This 460-nucleotide ribosomal RNA is filed under the name uncultured bacterium. Its description in RNAcentral is "partial 16S ribosomal RNA". It matches the Rfam family "Bacterial small subunit ribosomal RNA", at positions 338 to 795 of the family's 1533-position model. The record is from RNAcentral.
CCUACGGGAGGCAGCAGUGAGGAAUAUUGGUCAAUGGCCGGAAGGCUGAACCAGCCAUGCCGCGUGACGGUCAGUGCCCUAUGGGCGUUAAACUUCUUUUGUGCGGGAGCAAUAAUGGUCACGUGUGGCCAGACGAGAGUACCGUACGAAUAAGCAUCGGCUAACUCCAUGCCAGCAUCCGCGGUAAUACGGGGGAUGCAAGCGUUAUCCGGAUUUAUUGGGUUUUAAGGGUGCAGAGGUUGGGAGGUAAGUCAGCGGUGAAAUGCCCCCGCGCGAGGGGGUGAAGGGCCAUUGAUACUGCCUUGCUGGAAUGCGGAUGCCGUGGGAGGAAUGUGUGGUGUAGCGGUGAAAUGCAUAGAUAUCACACAGAACACCGAUUGCGAAGGCAUCUCACGAAUCCGCGAUUGACGCUGAUGCACGAAAGCGUGGGUAUCAAACAGGAUUAGAUACCCGUGUAGUC